GUCUCCCAGCGCUUCCUUUCCUCAUCUGCUCUCCAUCUCGCCUGGCCUUCGUCUCUGUCAUUCAUCUUCUGAGAAGGGAAGCAAAUGAUUCCUACCACUCGCAGAAGUCAUGAGCCUAAUUUUACUUGGGAAUCUUAGAAUAUAAAUGACACAAAUGGCAUUUUAACAGUGGUUGAUAGAGUAGCAUCAUGUGUGCUUCUAACCUGUUUUGUUUUUUAAAAAAGUAAAAUGGUUUUGUUUUUGUUUUCAUUUCCUUUCUUUCUUGGAACUCCGUUUAAAAAAAUACCUGUUUCCAAUGUUUAAAUUCUUGAAAAACUGAAAAAUUAUUUUUAAGACAAAACUACGUUCUCAAACAGGAAAAUAAAAGAAUGCUUAAUUUUUAUAGCCAGAUAACUUUUGUUACCCGGAGGGUAAGCAUUAUAACUAUAUUGAUUUUAUGUAGAUCUUAAUUAUUUAACAUUUAUUGUUUUUCUGGUAAGAAAUCCAACAUUGUCAUGCAUUCUACGGCUGUUGGCCCAUUCAUGUCCUCUUGAUGUAUAUGCUGCUUGCCAGAGGUUAGCUUUCUGCAUACUUCAGCCCAUAAUAAUGAAAUCAGCAGUACUCACAUAUUUUGGGCAUAGAAUGCACCCAUAAAAUGUGACAAUGGGCAGCAGGUGUGAGCAUGCAUCCGGUCACCCCUCCCUGCCCUCCCUAACGCACCGACGUUUGAAAGUUCGUGUCAGUCUUAAGUCCUGAAUGGUUCUUAACCACCUGACUUUCUUACUGUGAAGAUGCCCAGUGUAAAAAAAAAAAAAAAGGCUUUGAUAAUUUGAUGGACAAAUUAUCGCUUUUUAAAAAAAACAUUCCAGUUUGGGUUCAAUUACCAGUGAACAGGAAUUUUACAGCUAAAAGUCUGAGGUUAAGAUUUCUUGAUUUCUGAAAGACUAACAAAUCAAUUCCGCUCCCUUCAGGCAAGGAAAGUGCUCAGACACACCUGUCCCUUCAGAAACUAAAUAGAGAAAAAUUCUGUUCCCCUUCAGCCAAAGAAAGUGCUCAGACACACCUGUCCCUCCAGAAAUUAAAUAGAGAAAAUCUGUUCCAUUUCUCUUUUCAUGAUUCUGUCAGGCGUCUGAACUCCAUUGCAUUUGAAAGGACCAUUCAGGUAAACAUUCUUCAGCUUGGAAGUGAAUUCAUCUUGGCAUGUGAAGCCCCACAGCCGCCUACAUCGUUCCCCACAUUGAUCUGGGGCUGUGUCCUCAGCAGGGACUCUGCACAGUUCUCAGUACUCCAUACCCCGGUUAGCUUGUGGCCCGGUUUCUCCAUGCCUGCCUUCCAUCCCAGGAGAUGAGAUGCAAGGGUUGAGCAUCUUUUCCCUCUCGGCUUUGCAGCGUUUGCCUCUGCACAGUGUGUAGUACUGGUGGUAGUUUUCCUGAGGAAAGAAAUUUCAGUUUUCAUCCCUUGAUUAUUACUGUUCAUCAUAAGCAGUAUGAGAGGUCACAGCUAUGCAACAUCUGAAUGUCCUCUUGAUGCUGUUUCCUGUUGUGUUUUGUGGGCUGUAGCUCUCCUCUCCUUGAGACAUUAACUGAGGCAAGAAGCCCAUGAAUACUUGGUAUAUGGAGGGAAGAUUGGUGUGAUGAGACCAUUAUCACAUGUUUUACCAAAUGCCAACUAGUCUUUUGUAGUUUUUCCUUCUUAAAUUUCUCUGAUAUGAGAAGCAAAACCCCAUGCUAGCUUAAAACAAUGUUUCUGAUUUUAAACAUUUGUAACAAUCUCCCCUCAUCUGAGAAAUAUGCCUUGAGAAAUACAGGAAAAGCAAGAGUGUUAAAACCACCUCAAUUCUGCAUACUACAUGUGUGUAUAUCUGUGUGUAUAUGUUGGGAGAUGACAGCAUAAAUUUUGCUUCUAAACCCC
This 1890-nucleotide long non-coding RNA is filed under the name Mus musculus (house mouse). Its description in RNAcentral is "long non-coding RNA chr13:91702633-91704523". Lineage: Eukaryota; Metazoa; Chordata; Mammalia; Rodentia; Muridae. The record is from RNAcentral.